RNAcentral lists this ribosomal RNA (530 nucleotides) under uncultured eukaryote. Its description in RNAcentral is "SSU rRNA". It matches the Rfam family "Eukaryotic small subunit ribosomal RNA", at positions 21 to 549 of the family's 1831-position model. The record is from RNAcentral.
UAGUCAUAUGCUUGUCUCAAAGAUUAAGCCAUGCAUGUCUAAGCACAAGCCGAUUAAUGGUGAAGCCGCGAAUGGCUCAUUACAACAGCCAUAGUUUCUUAGAUCUUACUUUUCUACUCGGAUAACUGUGGUAAUUCUAGAGCUAAUACACGCAAACAAGCUCAGACCUUACGGAAUGAGCGCAUUUAUUAGAACAAAAACCAAUCGGGCUUCGGUCCGUCAUUUGGUGAAUCUGAAUAACUUUGCUGAUCGCACGGUCUUCGUACCGGCGACAUAUCUUUCAAAUGUCUGCCUUAUCAACUUUCGAUGGUAGUUUAUGCGCCUACCAUGGUUGUAACGGGUAACGGAGAAUAAGGGUUCGACUCCGGAGAGGGAGCCUGAGAAACGGCUACCACAUCCAAGGAAGGCAGCAGGCACGCAAAUUACCCACUCCCGGCACGGGGAGGUAGUGACGAAAAAUAACGAGACGGCUCGCUAUGCGGUCCGUCAUCGGAAUGGGUACAAUUUAAAUCCUUUAACGAGGAUCUAUU